Lupinus albus (white lupine) is the source of this 566-nucleotide non-coding RNA. Lineage: Eukaryota; Viridiplantae; Streptophyta; Magnoliopsida; Fabales; Fabaceae. The record is from the annotation of a GenBank genome assembly.
GAUUAGAAUAGGGUGAGAAGAAGAGAGAAAAACGAAAGUGAGAAGAACUCAUGGUUUUCUCCUUCGGCGACAGAAGCGGCGUUUUCGCUCCGGUGACAACCUAAAAAGGAGCUCAUCAUCUGUUCCAACUCCUCCCUUCGGUUUUGUCCUUCUAUUCCAGAUUCAGAAAGGUAGUUGCAACCAUCAUUUGGCAUUCUUUAACUUUUUGCAGGGAGUAGUAAAGCAUAUUGAGUAAGGAGUUGUAGGUGUGAUAAAUCAUAGCUGCUACAACCAACAUCCCCCCGUGUUGUGCUGAAAUCCUCCUCCAACCAAUGCAUAAUCUCUCCAGCCUAUACUUUGUGAUGGUAAUAGGAGUCAUGGCGGACAAUGAUCUUUUAUUUGGUUGAGUGAAACUUGUUGGAGCAGGACCGCUUUGGUGCACUCAAUACAACAAUAUACCCACAUAUCACAAGGAUAUUUGUAUCAUAUACCCACAUAAUCAUUUGUAGCUUUGCGUUUUUGAUAUAGUGCACUUAAUGUUUAUCAUGAAUUUAAUCCAAUCCUUACCAUUUCUUUCUUCUUUUGGU